This 3544-nucleotide unclassified non-coding RNA is filed under the name Hevea brasiliensis (rubber tree). The record is from RNAcentral. Lineage: Eukaryota; Viridiplantae; Streptophyta; Magnoliopsida; Malpighiales; Euphorbiaceae.
UUAACACCUGGGUUUUAAGGUUAGCCUUGGGCUUCUAACAAUUAGAAGCUGUUAUUGUUUAACAGAUAUUGUGUGUGUUAUUUAUGCACAGAAAAUUGAAGUUAUAAAGUAAAAAAGCAUAUGACUUUCAAGCUGCAUGUUGACCAUUUCAAAUAUUUUAUUUUGUGCAUUUAAGCACCUGAGCUUCAAAGCAUUGUGCAUCUGUUAUGCCUUUCUGAACAGUUAUUUUGGAGAGGAAAGAAUUGUUUUUUGGUUAAUUUAGACAUGAUUCCAUAUUCUAUAUCUGCCCACAUAUGGCAAAUUGAAUUGAAAUGUGAAGAAUAUAAGACUGCCAGUUAGGGCAUAGCCAACCUCUAGCUACAUUGAGUUGAGUUUAUCAGAUCCUCAUUAGAUUCUUGGAGAUCUCUGUUUAGAUUUCGUUUCUUUAUUAAACCCAUUGCUAUUGAUACAAUCUUCCAGGGCUGUUGGGAACCCAAAUGACCUGUUUAGUUUUUAACAAAUCCUACUAUUGACAAUAGAAGUUUCUUGCAUUGAUUGUAGCAAAAGUUCUUGAAUCUUCAAAUCUGUUCUUUGGUUAAUAUAAAAGCUAUCAUUUAACAAUAAAAUUGAAGAAAAAUAAAACUCUGCCCACUAUUUGUGGCCAGCACAAUUUGUUAUUGUUCAGUAGAUAUAUUUAAUAGCCAAUUGAUUGUGAAUGAGGUAUUACUGCUGUACACCUUUGUCACUCAACUAAAUCCUUGUACAGCCAUAUCCUCUAAAAUUCUUAGUUAUCUUAUAUUUUCUUACAGUAGCAAUAUGAUUCUUUUUUUGUUUUUCAUAUUCUCCUGCAUCAUUUUAUCCAUAGUGGUGCUCCACUGGAUAACAAGAUGAGAGGUUAUCAGAUUUAGAUUCAGUGGGGGCUAGUAUGUCAUGAAGUUACCAUGGAUUAGUACAAUGUAAAAAUUAUUCAUUGAUGAGCUCUUUUUUUUGGGGAAUCUUGCAAAUACAAAGACCUUAGAAAAGUGAACAGUGAAUUCUCUUCCAUGCCAAUUUCUUCCUCUUUGAAUCUUGUCUUCCUUUGUAUGCUUUAUAGGCGAAAUGUUUUGCAUUGGCCAAGGGAUUCUUUGCAUAAAGGUUUAAGCAUGAAAGUUCCUCUUCAACUAUCUACACUAAUAUUUUAGGUAACAUCUUGUGUAGAAAACUGUUCUUACAAAACAAAGUGUAACUUUGGGUAUUUAUUGGGCUUCUUUUUUGGUCUUUGUUUCUUUGUUCCUCUCCAUACAAUUUAGAAGUUGCUGUCUACCUAUACUUUCUCACUCUUAUGUAACUUGAAACUAUAAAUUUAAAAAAAAAAAAAAAUCAUCUCAUUGCAUUACUUCACAUUUCGUCUUCUUGUCAUAUUUGCUCCACAUCAUAUUGUUUCUUUAGGACAUUAUUUUAGAUUCGGAUUGCUUUCGUACAUGUCAUAUAUUGUGUUUUUUACCACCCCUUUUUGUUUCAUCUUUCCCUUGUUCCUAUGCAAAGGAUUUCAUCAAUGUCGAUAUGGCUACAAGAAUGUUUCUGAUCUUGAAGGCGUGGUUGCUGGCUAUGCAAAUGCUAGUAUCCCUCUUGAAGUUAUGUGGACAGAUAUUGAUUACAUGGACGGUUACAAGGAUUUCACUCUCGAUCCCAUCAACUUUCCUGCAGAUCUAAUGAAAAAAUUUGUCGACCAACUUCAUAGAAAUGGUCAAAAAUACGUUGUUAUUCUGGAUCCUGGUAUUAGUGUUAAUGAUUCCUAUGGAACCUAUAAUAGGGGGAUUCAAGCUGAUGUGUUUAUUAAACGUGAUGGUGUUCCUUACUUGGGACAAGUUUGGCCUGGACCUGUCUACUUCCCUGAUUUUUUAAAACCAGACACCACAACUUUCUGGAGGGAUGAGAUCAAACAGUUUCGAGAUAUCCUUCCUUUUGAUGGACUUUGGAUCGACAUGAAUGAGAUAUCCAAUUUCAUAACUUCCCCUUCAACACCAUUCUCCACCCUUGAUAAUCCCCCUUACAAGAUUAACAAUGCAGGAAUCCAACGACCAAUCAAUAAUAAGACAACACCAGCAACAUGCUUGCAUUUUUCUAACAUUACAGAAUACGAUGUCCAUAACUUGUAUGGACUGCUAGAAGCUAGAGCAACCCAUGAAGCCUUGACAGAUGUGACUAGUAAAAGGCCAUUUGUACUUUCUAGAUCUACUUUUGUAAGUUCUGGCAAGUAUACUGCUCAUUGGACUGGAGACAUUGCCUCCACCUGGGAUGAUUUGGCCAACACCAUUCCUACCAUGUUGAAUUUCGGACUCUUCGGAAUACCAAUGGUUGGUGCCGAUAUAUGUGGAUUUUCUGGCAACACAACCGAAGAACUUUGCAGGCGUUGGAUUCAGCUUGGGGCCUUUUAUCCCUUUGCGCGAGAUCACUCGGAAAAAAACAGUAUUCGGCAAGAGCUCUAUCUCUGGGAUUCAGUUGCUUCAACAGCCAGGAAGGUGCUAGGACUCCGAUAUCGACUGCUUCCGCUUUUUUACACAUUACUAUAUGAGGCACACACCAAGGGAACACCCAUAGCAAGGCCUCUUUUCUUUUCAUUUCCUGAAGACGUCAACACUUACGAAAUCAAUUUCCAGUUUCUAAUUGGUAGUGGUGUACUGGUCUCACCGGUAGUAAUGUCAGGAGCAGUGUCAGUUGAUGCAUACUUCCCUGAAGGAAAUUGGUUUAGCCUGUUUAAUUACUCUGAUUCAAUCAGGGUAAGCUCAGGUAAGUAUGUCACACUUGACGCACCACCUGAUCAUAUAAAUGUGCAUGUCAAGGAAGGCAACAUUUUGGCAAUGCAAGGGGAAGCAAUGACAACAAAAGCUGCUCGAAUGACACCAUUUGAACUCCUGGUGGUUGUGACCAGCAAUGGAAAUAGUUCUGGAGAACUAUUUUUGGACGAUGGGGAGGAACUAGAGAUGGGAGGAUCAGAAGGGAGGUGGGCUUUCCUUAGAUUUCAUGGUGGACGGCAGAGGAAUAAUACUAUAUUUGUUGCAUCAGAAAUUUUGAAUGGAGGAUUGGAUUUGAGUCAGAAAUGGAUAGUGGAUAAGGUGAGUUUCAUAGGGUUGGAGAAGGCUGAGAGAUUGAAGGCACGUGAGCUAAGGAUCACAAAGGGUUCAAUGAUGAAUGGCAAACCUGUUGUAAAGGCUCGUUUGGACAGCGAUUCACAGUUUAUCAUCAUUGAAAUUUCAGGACUAUCACUUCUUAUUGGAGAAGCCUUUAACCUGGAACUAGACCUAACGGUGAAAAACUCUUAAAAGGAACAUAUGGCUUUGAAUAACGCAAUAACCCAAUUGGGCAAAUUCUGUUUUCCUAUUGGGAUGGUAAAGGUAGCUACUUGCAACGAGCAUUCUACACAUAUCAUGUACAAUUUUUUAAGCAAAAAUUAUUCGAAGUUCAGCUUCUCUAGAAUAUAAUAAUUAACGAUAAAAUAACAUUAUUAUGCCAUAUAUUGUAUGGCUAAGUGCUCAUAAUUAUUUUUUCAUCAUUAAUUUGAAUUAACUCACACUAGACAUUUUCC